Molecule: ribosomal RNA, 232 nt
Filed under: uncultured bacterium
Lineage: Bacteria
Description: partial 16S ribosomal RNA
Rfam family: Bacterial small subunit ribosomal RNA
Source: RNAcentral
CGGACGGGUGAGUAAUGUCUGGGAAACUGCCCGAUGAGGGGGAGUAACUACUGGAAACGGUAGCUAAUACCGCAUAAUGUCGCAAGACCAAAGAGGGGGACCUUCGGGCCUCUUGCCAUCGGAUGUGCCCAGAUGGGAUUAGCUAGUAGGUGGGGUAACGGCUCACCUAGGCGACGAUCCCUAGCUGGUCUGAGAGGAUGACCAGCCACACUGGAACUGAGACACGGUCCAG